This 462-nucleotide ribosomal RNA is filed under the name uncultured bacterium. RNAcentral's name for it is "partial 16S ribosomal RNA". It matches the Rfam family "Bacterial small subunit ribosomal RNA", at positions 28 to 507 of the family's 1533-position model. The record is from RNAcentral.
GACGAACGCUGGCGGCGUGCUUAACACAUGCAAGUCGAGCGGAAAGGCCCUUCGGGGUACUCGAGCGGCGAACGGGUGAGUAACACGUGAGUGACCUGCCCCAGACUUUGGGCUAACCCUCGGAAACGGGGGCUCAUACCGGAAACGCCACAGCUUCGCAUGGGUUCUGUGUGGCAAGUGUUUCGGUUUGGGAUGGGCUCGCGGCCUAUCAGCUUGUUGGUGGGGUGAUGGCCUACCAAGGCGACGACGGGUAGCCGGCCUGAGAGGGCGACCGGCCACACUGGGAUUGAGACACGGCCAAGACUCCGACGGGAGGCAGCAGUGGGGAAUAUUGCAAAAUGGGCGGAAGCCGGAUGCAGCGACGUCGGGUGAGGGAUCACGGCCUUCGGGUUGUAAACCGCUUUCAGCAGGGACGAAGCGUAAUUGACGGUACCUGCAGAAGAAGCGCCGGCUAACUACGUG